UGAGGAUGUUUAAACUACGAUACAGAAAAGUCGUGAAUAUACGAUGGUUAGGAUUUAGAUAAGCUUCUUUUAUCAAUUUACUUGGACAUAUAAGAAGAAAUUGUGAAUCCUUGAUUUGGUUGCUGCAAAGGAGCAAUCUUUUCGUACUUUUUAGCUGCUGAGAUGCUGAAUUAAUUUUUCAGCACUGUGAUGAACAGUUGAGGAUGUUUGAACCUAUGUUGCUCGGACUCUUCAAAAGUGUCAUCUGGUGCUUGUUGGAUCCUUCAAAAAUAGUGCAUUUUUUGAGGAUCCGACACGGGUACGGCAAUUUCAAUAGAGUCUGAGCAAAUUAGGAUUGAACUAUGAUACAGCCAGAGUCAUGAAUACACAAUAGUUAAGAUUUAGAUGGAUUCUUUUAUUAAUUUACUAGGACAUGUACGAAUUUGUGAAACCUUGAUUUGGUUGCAGCAAAUGAGUAAUUCUUUUCAAAUUUUUUUGCAGCUGAGAUCCACUGAAUUACAUUUUCAAGAUUCUGGGUGAUCAUUUGGUACUGAGGUGUUGUUAUUGUUGUUUUUCUGGGUGAUCAUUUGUACAACCAUAAGCUUAGUAGCGAUUUAUAAAUCUGGGUACUGAGGAAUAUACGAAAUGUGUCAGUAUCAUAGACAUUUAACAUCUUAAAGCAAAGCGCCAAAAAUAUAAACAGCUUUAUCUAAGUCGAAUCAUGAAUUAUGGACUUUACUGUUUUGAGUUAUGUUGGACAAAAUCUCACUUGAAAAGAAAGGUUAAAUUUUUUGGAAGUAUGUCAGUUAUUAUCUGGAAGACUAUUUAUGUUGUCGGUACAAUCUUCUGUAUGCUUUUAUUCCAACAGCUGAUUGUUACGUAAACUACAGAGCCUACAAUUUAUAAAUGGGUUCAAAAGCAAUUGAAGAUUUGUUAGAGGCGUCAUCAGGAGUACAUUAUUCUUGAUUCCAUUUAGAAGAGCCACAUACUUCAAAGACUGAUCAACCAACAACUUCUAUGGAUGGAAGUGUUAAGCACCCUUUUGUCAUAGUGACUUUGUAUCUCAUCUUCGUGGAUUUAAACUGUUGAUCUUGCGUCACACACUAAGUUGCGCGAACUCUUCACUUUUGAUGCCGCACCCGUGUUGGAUUCUUCAAAAACACACUACUUUUGGCAAAUCCAACAUGCAUCCGCUGACAUUUUUUAGAAGUCCGAGCAACAUAGGUCACACACACACGAUUUUAAGAGCUGAUGUUUUACAUAUUCCAAUAUUGUCUAAUCUAAGAGGUUUGGACCUGUCAAAACACAUAUUGGUUUGACAUUUAAUGUUGAGAAAAUAAGUAUGUUGAAUUGGUCCUAGAGGUAAACGUUCUGCUAGAUUAUUCACCUGCACAUGCUCUAGCUAUCAGACAAUAAUGCAUGGCGACUACAGCACAACCUAUGACAUAUAGGUUUCAGAAUGGAGGAGAAGCAAAAACUGACAACGUAGUAGUUUAAUUCUCAAAUUACCUUUUAAAUUUGCAUAUUACUGAUUUUCUAUCUUUGUUAUCUCUGGUUACUGCAAGUUGAGCAGGAUAGAUGAGCCUAUAAUUCUGUUUGACGAGGUGGUCACUGAUGGUAUUAGUCCAAAUCUGAUUACUUUUAACAUUCUCAUUAAUGAUUUUGGCAAGAUAAGUUACAUACUUUCCACUAAAAAAUUAUUUGGCUGAAUGUGGGUUGUGGGUAACUAGCCUGAUGUUGUCACCUAUUGAACUGUCGGACAGGAGAUUUCAAGUUCGGUGAUGAAAUGAAUAUCCAAAAAUUGUCUCUGAACUUAUAUAUUUACUUUUUCUUAUUAUCCAUGCCUUAAGCAAGGAGAAUAAGCUAAAUGAAGUUCGGAAAUUAUUGAGGCAAUUAAGAUUUGAGGGAUGAUAUCGUUUCCCAGUUAUUUAUAUGCAUCCUUGUGUUUGAUGAGUUUUGCAGGAAUUGUAAUUGAGUGAAGCAAAUGUGAUUGCAACAGAAAUGGAGAGCCGAGGGUGUUUCUAUGAUAAAAUCAGCUUCAGAAUUCUCAUUCUCGGGCAUUGCAUUAAAAAAAAAGAAUGCUUGAAGCUAUGACCAUUCCUGAUAAGAUGCUGUCAUCGGAUUCCGUUCAAAUGAUAUCACAGAAUUGAAUUUGGAAGGCUCAUUUCAUCACAGGAAUUGAAUUCAGAUUUAUCAUCUUCAAGGCAAUUUGUACCGUUCAGGACAAGUUUGGACAUCCCACUGCGCUCACUCAAGGAAGAUGUGGAUCGUUGUUCCCUUCAAGUGCUUCACUAUUUAAGAAUACUGGAAGAUCACCUUAAAUUUUAAGUAAAACAUACAAUUGAGAUGAACUACAUUUACAUCACUUUGUUGAGAUGCAGAUAGUGGUAUAUUUGUUGUCAAAUGCAGUGGUUGGUGGUGGCUCGGUGUUAUGAUAGUAGUGUGGAAUUUUCGAAGUAAAGGAUACUCAUUGUUGCAGUAGGUGUCAUUUGGAGCAGAU
This is a long non-coding RNA of Capsicum annuum, 2479 nucleotides long. RefSeq lists it as uncharacterized. Lineage: Eukaryota; Viridiplantae; Streptophyta; Magnoliopsida; Solanales; Solanaceae. The record is from RefSeq and is a predicted model, not a curated record. The transcript has 4 exons.